UCAAUAAUUAAAGAUGUUAUUGGUUACCACACACUAAUUAUAAACUUUGUCAAUUGUAUUUGUUGAGGCCCAAUUUUGGCCCGAGUACAAACCCCAAUUAAACCAAAUCAACCCACCGCAAAAAUAAAGAAAUUAAAACAACCCAAAACUCAAUUACAAAAUCAGACCCCAGCCCAAAUAAAUUACAUAAGCCCAAUUUAAGCCCAAACUAGCCCUAGCCUCCAAACAGAAAACAAAAAUGAAGAAUCAGAUUUUUCAAAUCCUAGGUGCGCCGCUCCUAGGGCAUUCGACCAACUGCUCUCUGUCCCAUCGCCCAUACCAUCUGCUGUGCCACCGCUCAAGUUGCCCCUGCAAGAAUUAACGAGAAAUGACAAGUAGUUGAACAGAUAAACUUUGUAAACGGCUAUAUAAAGCCUUUUUAUCCUUGUAGAUAUUUUUAGAGACAUUGAAUAUAAAAAGAAAUCAGUGAGUCAAAGCAAACAAUAGCAAAUCAAGAGAAAAACACCAAAUCGGAAGAAAUCGAAACACCAAGAAUCGAAAUCUAAUAAAAAAACCAAAGGUGAUUUUGUCUUAUACAUUUUUUUGAUUUAUUUCUUUUUCUUUUCUAUUUUUCGAAUCUAUUUAUUCACAUAUGUACAUAUAUUAAAAGCACAUAAAAAAUAUAAAAAAAGAAAAAAAUACCUUUUUGAAAUUUUCAACAACCGUGCGCGGUGGCCGGCGGCAGACGGAGCUGGAGUUUGGCCGGAGGGAGAAGACCUUGAGAGAGAAUAGAGAGCUUUUGGAAUUUUUUUUG
This 793-nucleotide long non-coding RNA is filed under the name Gossypium barbadense (sea-island cotton). RNAcentral's name for it is "long non-coding RNA (GBAR_LNC010869)". Lineage: Eukaryota; Viridiplantae; Streptophyta; Magnoliopsida; Malvales; Malvaceae. The record is from RNAcentral.